This is a long non-coding RNA of Oncorhynchus tshawytscha (Chinook salmon), 353 nucleotides long. The record is from Ensembl. Lineage: Eukaryota; Metazoa; Chordata; Actinopteri; Salmoniformes; Salmonidae.
GUAGUAACAGAGAGGAGAGACAGUAGACAGACGGUAGUAACAGAGGAGAGAGAGUCAGUAGACAGACGGUAGUAACAGAGAGGAGAGACAGUAGACAGACGGUAGUAACAGAGGGGAGAGUCAGUAGACAGACGGUAGUAACAGAGAGGAGAGACACAGUAGACAGACGGUAGUAACAGAGAGGAGAGAGACAGUAGACAGACGGUAGUAACGGAGAGGAGAGAGACAGUAGACAGACGGUAGUAACAGAGAGGAGAGACAGUAGACAGACGGUAGUAACAGAGGGGAGAGUCAGUAGACAGACGGAACAGACAGAGAGGAGAGUCAGUAGACAGACGGUAGUAACAGAGAGG